CUUUGCAGGUUGCGCGAGUAGGAAAAGGGCUAAACGACUAAUCCUGUUUGACAAUGGGCCGCUGUCGGCCAAUCUUAACUGGGGUAUCGCAUUGCGCAUGCAUGAUAGAAUAGUUUGUUUAAAACUUGGCAGGCUUGUUCGCUGCUAGUGGCGCCGGUAACCGACCAAUCGCAGCGCAGAACGCUAAAUAACUUUCGCAUGAGCACAACUGAGCGAGAACAAUGCUAUCGAUGAGUAUUCUGACCAAGGAGACCGCCAUGAAUAAAGUAAGACAAAAGACCAAGGUUUCUUUCCACUUUACACUAUCUGAUAGCAACACAUUCCUUCGCCGUAAAAAUAAUGCGUUGUGGUGAUUAGGGUUUCGUUGUCACCUUUGAAAACCGAUUUAGAAAGCGCACUGUAAACUGAAGCGAUGUUCUUUUGUGCUGCGCGUUAUGAAAUUUUAAUUUGGAAAUAUUUGGAAGUAUGUUAUUUGUCACUGAACCAUGCCGUGUCAAUUAUUCAUACAAUAGGGAAACUGCCUUUUGUCCCCGGUUCUGAAAUAGAGCCGUGAAAUAUCCCAUCUAUCCUGCCCUCUAAACAACUCGUCGCUCUCUCAGAACACGCGAUUUAUCACACGACUGACAUGUUUAUUUUGCGCGGGCGAACUUCAAGUUGGUGCGAACGAUUUAUCAAAACAUUUCAAACAAGAUCGACACUUCGUUCAAUCGCAUGAGCUAAUUACUUCUGAGAACAUGCUUUUGUUUGAUUUUGGCCACUGCUAGCGUCGUGCACAUAGCAACGCCACCAGUCACUCUCGCCUUUGCCACUUGUUCGUUUGGUAAAGGCACGUGCGCUGCAAAACAGGUGCGAUACUACCCCCGAGCGAUGAGAACAAAGGUAUAUCGACGUUUUCCGCGAGACAAUGGAGGAAAUUGAGAAGAAAUUUUUCCGUCAGUUCUCACUUAAAUCUCGACAAUAAUUUCAUACUGAGAUAGAAGAGAAUGGAGAAGCUCCGUGACUACUUGCACGGCGUUUUUUCACUUUUGGCGCAUACCGAGUCGAACAAUGCACACGCGCAUGGAAAGCCUGAAUUGACCUGUUCUAAAGUGGGGAAGACAUAGAUGGAUGGGAGAAUCAGAUGAACGAAUGGGUGGUUAUCAAUAUAUCAUAAAAUGGGAAGCAAUGUCAAGGCAAAGCAAAGAAAAGGAUACUGUAUAAUUUUGCGGUUUCUAUUGUAAACAAGGACUUGGUCGAUCACUUGACUGGGAAGCUAACGUGAGCGCGAUAGCUCAGAAGAAAACCUGUCACGGUAGUCAGAUGCCAGAUUUACGACUGUUAAGAGUCUGAAAUCAGUUACAUGAUAGACCAUUAAGAACUUGCAACAAAAAACAAAGAGAAGAGCUGAAAGCGUUUUAUCGUCAGAGCAAAUAUGGCAGCAAGAUAGCAGAUAACCUAUAUUGUAAACAAACUGAAAUGUUUAAAUAAAAGACGAAUGAAAAAGCGCGUGCGACUCCGUAGUUUUACAAGAUCUUCGUCUUCGUUGUCAAGAAAGGAAUGUUUUUAACAUAUGGCAAAUCUGACUUGAAAAGCCACAUGGCUCAAUUUUGCAUGUGCUUUGGAAUGUUUAUGAAAUUAUAUUGAGGGUGUGACUCAAUUAGUUAAACAAAUCUAUUUAGAUUAUUUACGCCCAAGCCAACAUCUCGGUUUUCUUUUACAUCGUAUGCGAAAAAAGUAACAUCAUUCUAGUCACUGAAAAAAAAUUUGUCAAGAAGCACACAUUACUGCACGUAUGCUCAAUUUGAAACCCAUUUUCGUCGUCGCUUUUGACGCAUAUUUGAUAAUAGGGCACUUGCUUUAAAAGGGCAAUUAAACUAAGAUUUAAAUCUCAUAAACCUGAUAGAGGCUUAAGAAAGUUACACUAAUACUUUAAAAAGCUCAACGGGUCCACUGGGAUGAUUUAGUUAGUUU
This is a long non-coding RNA of Orbicella faveolata, 1950 nucleotides long. RefSeq lists it as uncharacterized. The record is from RefSeq and is a predicted model, not a curated record. Lineage: Eukaryota; Metazoa; Cnidaria; Anthozoa; Scleractinia; Merulinidae.